AACUUUCAACAACGGAUCUCUUGGCUCUCGCAUCGAUGAAGAACGCAGCGAAAUGCGAUAAGUAAUGUGAAUUGCAGAUUUUCAGUGAAUCAUCGAAUCUUUGAACGCACCUUGCGCCCCUUGGUAUUCCGAGGGGCAUGCCUGUUUGAGUGUCAUU
Molecule: ribosomal RNA, 157 nt
Filed under: Tylospora fibrillosa
Lineage: Eukaryota; Fungi; Basidiomycota; Agaricomycetes; Atheliales; Atheliaceae
Also listed under: 3 other names
Description: 5.8S ribosomal RNA
Rfam family: 5.8S ribosomal RNA
About the family: 5.8S ribosomal RNA (5.8S rRNA) is a component of the large subunit of the eukaryotic ribosome. It is transcribed by RNA polymerase I as part of the 45S precursor that also contains 18S and 28S rRNA.
Source: RNAcentral